This 494-nucleotide ribosomal RNA is filed under the name uncultured bacterium. RNAcentral's name for it is "partial 16S ribosomal RNA". It matches the Rfam family "Bacterial small subunit ribosomal RNA", at positions 28 to 507 of the family's 1533-position model. The record is from RNAcentral.
GACGAACGCUGGCGGCGUGCUUAACACAUGCAAGUCGAACGGUGAAGCGCCUUCCUUUUUGGUGGGUGUGGAUGAGUGGCGAACGGGUGAGUAACACGUGAGUAACCUGCCCCCUUCUUCUGGAUAACCGCAUGAAAGUGUGGCUAAUACGGGAUAUUCUGGGUCUGUCGCAUGAUGGGUCUGGGAAAGAUAUUGUUUCGGUGGGGGAUGGGCUCGCGGCCUAUCAGCUUGUUGGUGGGGUGAUGGCCUACCAAGGCGGUGACGGGUAGCCGGCCUGAGAGGGUGGACGGUCACACUGGGACUGAGACACGGCCCAGACUCCUACGGGAGGCAGCAGUGGGGAAUAUUGCACAAUGGGCGCAAGCCUGAUGCAGCGACGCCGCGUGGGGGAUGGAGGCCGUCGGGUUGUGAACCUCUUUCGCCAGUGAAGCAGGCCUGCCUCGUUUGUGGGUGGGUUGACGGUAGCUGGAUAAGAAGCGCCGGCUAACUACGUG